RNAcentral lists this long non-coding RNA (1152 nucleotides) under Mus musculus (house mouse). Its description in RNAcentral is "predicted gene, 40576". Lineage: Eukaryota; Metazoa; Chordata; Mammalia; Rodentia; Muridae. The record is from RNAcentral.
ACUCACCCACCCAACUGCCAAGGAAUCCUGUCCACAGAUGGGGAAACUGAGGCUUUCUGGAAUCUUCUCUAAGUAUUAUUCUAGAUGUUGAUGGCUCAGAUGAGGGUCUGCCACAUCUCCCCUCUUGCUUGGUGGAAAGACCCACAGAGCCACCGCAUGCUUCCUUAUGGGACGAGUAAUGACUAGAUGCUUGUGUGGGUUCCGAGACCCUCAGGGGAACCUGGAGAUUUGAGAUUAGCUUGACUUUACCUACAUUUAGUGGACGCUACCUAGUCCAACAGUGGCCAUCUGCACACUGAAGAGGCAGAGAACCUAGUAGCUGCGUAGCUGCAGUACAGUACAAGAAGCUGGGAGCCCCAGAAUGAGAGAGAACAGUGAUUCAGCCCCAGGUUCACGGCCUGGGUUUUCCCUGGGAGCCACUGAUGUGAGUCCACGUAGCUGUCGAAGCACUUGCUGCAGAAGAUGGAGUCUGUGCUUGCUGGCUGGCAUUCUUCUCUUCAGCCUUUGGGACAGCACUGCCCACAUCCGCCCGAUGUGAAGACGGAAGGGAACACUGCCUCCCAGUUCUGCGGCACCCGCUUCCCGGGGUCUCCUGAGGACACCCAGAUCCUGGCAGAGUACCCAUCCUGUUUCUCGGACCUUCCUCAUCAGAUGUCCUCUUGUACCUACUAUGUGCCAGAUUUCCUCCACUAGAAGUGCCUACUGUGUGUGCAGAGUCACAGGAGGACCCUCAGUCACAGACAUGACAAGGUUACAGUGCCAUGCUUCUAGGCCUCGCCUGUCCUCAGACCCCACAAUGUAGCCUGAUGAAGAAGACAGAACACAGCAUGUCCAAUCACGCCCCGCCGACGAAAUGCAUUGUGAGGAUGUUGGGUGCAUCGUCCUAGAGGGUGGCUCUGUAACCUACUGGAGACCAAAAGGGUCCUCUCAGCAAAGAAGGGGCUCAGUUCUCCACCAGACCCUUCUCAUGGACUCAUUGGCCACUCCCUGGAUGCUGGCAGAGGAGCUGAGAGACGGCACUCUCUGUGGGCCCUGGCCUCAUCUGAUGGAGGAUGCUAAAGGAGCCAAGGCAGCCUUUCUCUUCUGCUGAGACCGUCUUCAGAGCCGCCUGCUCAUAUCAUAAAAGGAGCCAGUGGCUCUGCCAUCCAUCUA